Molecule: ribosomal RNA, 498 nt
Filed under: uncultured soil bacterium
Lineage: Bacteria
Description: bacterial SSU rRNA
Rfam family: Bacterial small subunit ribosomal RNA
Source: RNAcentral
AGAGUGAACGCUGGCGGUAGGCCUAACACAUGCAAGUCGAACGGCAGCACGGUAAGAGCUUGCUCUUAUGGGUGGCGAGUGGCGGACGGGUGAGGAAUACAUCGGAAUCUACCUUUUGGUGGGGGAUAACGUAGGGAAACUUACGCUAAUACCGCAUACGCCCUUCGGGGGAAAGCCGGGGACCAGCAAUGGCCUGGCGCUGAUAGAUGAGCCGAUGUCGGAUUAGCUAGUUGGUGAGGUAAUGGCUCACCAAGGCGACGAUCCGUAGCUGGUCUGAGAGGAUGAUCAGCCACACUGGAACUGAGACACGGUCCAGACUCCUACGGGAGGCAGCAGUGGGGAAUAUUGGACAAUGGGGCGCAAGCCUGAUCCAGCCAUACCGCGUGGUGAAGAAGGCCUUGGUUGUAAAGCCCUUUUGUUCGGAAAGAAAAGCAAUUCGGUUAAUACCCGGUGUUCUGACGUACCAAAGAAUAACACGCUAACUCGUGCCAGCAGCCG